This 553-nucleotide unclassified non-coding RNA is filed under the name Hevea brasiliensis (rubber tree). Lineage: Eukaryota; Viridiplantae; Streptophyta; Magnoliopsida; Malpighiales; Euphorbiaceae. The record is from RNAcentral.
GCCACAGCCAUAUUCGGUCACUUUCAUAGUAAGCUGUUAUUAUACCAAAAGAGCUCCCCAUAACAACGUCAAGCACCACUGGCGUAUAGACGGGUCCAUUCUUUCGCUGUUUCUACAGCUUCUGCUUCAUUUGACUUCCAAUGCUUUGCAAUAUUCUCCGACAGGGGAUCAUCAGGAUUUGGAGCACUCAGGAGUGCUUGAAUGCUUAGCAGUACCGUGCGAAUCUGCAGAGCAGGACUCCAUUUAUCUUUAAGAAUGUCGAGGCAUAUUCUUCCAAGCUUGUCAAUGUUUGGAUGGUAUAUCUUGGUGAGAAAGCGAACCUUAGGGGCAGCCAUAGGAUACUCUUCAGGCAAAAACAACUCAAGCUUGAAUACCCCACCUUCAUAAGGCGAUUGCGUCGGGCCGAGAAUCAUAACAUUGAAGUAGCGCAUGUUCUCCUCCGAGGGAGAAGCGCUGAUUCCGGGAGCUGGCUCGCUGAGGAGGCGCUGUGUUUCCUUAAUGAUCCGGCGAGGGAGAUUGCUGUUCGCCAUCGCCCGUCGCUAGGGUUCGAGGC